Oryza nivara is the source of this 209-nucleotide non-coding RNA. NCBI's taxonomy places the organism in Eukaryota, Viridiplantae, Streptophyta, Magnoliopsida, Poales, Poaceae. The record is from Rfam.
AAUAAGUGCAGUUUUACACUAUUCACGUUCAACGUUUGAUCGUUCGUCUUAUUUGAAUUUUUUUUUAUGAUUAGUAUUUUUAUUGCUAUUAGAUAAUAAAACAUGAAUAGUAUUUUAUGUGUGACUAAAUAUUUUUAAUUUUUUCAUAAAUUUUUCAAAUAAGACAGAUGGUCAAACGUUGGACACGGAUAUUUACGGCUGCACUUAUU